CAAUAGCGUAUAUUAAAGUUGUUGCAGUUAAAAAGCUCGUAGUUGGAUUUGUGGUUCGUCCCGCCGGCUGGGUCAUUGACUUUUGCUGUGCUGGUCGUCCAUCCUUGGGUGGAAUCUGUGUGGCAUUAGGUUGUCGCGCAGGGGAUGCCCAUCGUUUACUGUGAAAAAUUAGAGUGUUCAAAGCAGGCUUAUGCCGUUGAAUAUAUUAGCAUGGAAUAAUGAUAUAGGACCUUGGUACUAUUUUGUUGGUUUGCGCAUCGAGGUAAUGAUUAAUAGGGACAGUUGGGGGUAUUCGUAUUCCAUUGUAAGAGGUGAAAUUCUUGGAUUUUUGGAAGACGAACUACUGCGAAAGCAUUUACCAAGGAUGUUUUCAUUAA
This 377-nucleotide ribosomal RNA is filed under the name uncultured eukaryote. Its description in RNAcentral is "partial 18S ribosomal RNA". It matches the Rfam family "Eukaryotic small subunit ribosomal RNA", at positions 592 to 976 of the family's 1831-position model. The record is from RNAcentral.